This 132-nucleotide small RNA is filed under the name Salmonella enterica. Its description in RNAcentral is "RtT sRNA". It matches the Rfam family "RtT RNA". Rfam says of the family: This family represents a bacterial cis-regulatory element known as RtT RNA. The exact function of RtT is unknown although it is thought that it may be involved in changing the cellular response in relation to amino acid starvation. RNAcentral also lists the same sequence under 12 other names. The record is from RNAcentral. Lineage: Bacteria; Pseudomonadati; Pseudomonadota; Gammaproteobacteria; Enterobacterales; Enterobacteriaceae.
UAUCUCUCCGUACGGGGAAGGAUGAGAAGCUUCGACUAAGGUUCGAUUCGAGCGAAAGCGAGAAAGCGUUGCCGCAGGCAACGACCCGAAGGGCGAAGCGCGCAGCGCUGAGUAAUCCUUCCCCCACCACCA